AGCACAGAAAAUACAGCCUACUACGCAUCUAGGCUAUAUGGUCUAGCCUACUGCUCCUAGGCUACAAACCUGUACAGCAUGUUACUGAAUACUGACUAUUGCAGG
Molecule: long non-coding RNA, 105 nt
Organism: Cebus imitator (Panamanian white-faced capuchin)
Lineage: Eukaryota; Metazoa; Chordata; Mammalia; Primates; Cebidae
Exons: 3
Source: RefSeq, a predicted model, not a curated record